This 73-nucleotide transfer RNA is filed under the name Pteropus alecto (black flying fox). It matches the Rfam family "tRNA". From Rfam's summary of the family: Transfer RNA (tRNA) molecules are approximately 80 nucleotides in length. Their secondary structure includes four short double-helical elements and three loops (D, anti-codon, and T loops). Lineage: Eukaryota; Metazoa; Chordata; Mammalia; Chiroptera; Pteropodidae. RNAcentral also lists the same sequence under 1 other name. The record is from Rfam by way of RNAcentral.
GUUUCCAUAGUGUAGCAGCUAGCACGUCUGCUUUACACGCAGAAGGUCCUGGGUUUGCACCCCAGUGAAGUCA